AUUGAACGCUGGCGGCAUGCUUUACACAUGCAAGUCGAACGGCAGCGCGGGCUUCGGCCUGGCGGCGAGUGGCGAACGGGUGAGUAAUGCAUCGGAACGUGCCCAGUAGUGGGGGAUAGCCCGGCGAAAGCCGGAUUAAUACCGCAUACGACCUGAGGGUGAAAGCAGGGGACCGGAAGGCCUCGCGCUAUUGGAGCGGCCGAUGUCGGAUUAGCUAGUUGGUGGGGUAAAGGCUUACCAAGGCGACGAUCCGUAGCUGGUCUGAGAGGACGACCAGCCACACUGGGACUGAGACACGGCCCAGACUCCUACGGGAGGCAGCAGUGGGGAAUUUUGGACAAUGGGGGCAACCCUGAUCCAGCCAUGCCGCGUGCGGGAAGAAGGCCUUCGGGUUGUAAACCGCUUUUGUUCGGGAAGAAAUCCUCUGGGCUAAUACCCCGGGGGGAUGACGGUACCGGAAGAAUAAGCACCGGCUAACUACGUG
This 484-nucleotide ribosomal RNA is filed under the name uncultured bacterium. RNAcentral describes it as "partial 16S ribosomal RNA". It matches the Rfam family "Bacterial small subunit ribosomal RNA", at positions 28 to 507 of the family's 1533-position model. The record is from RNAcentral.